Molecule: long non-coding RNA, 1891 nt
Filed under: Malus domestica (apple)
Lineage: Eukaryota; Viridiplantae; Streptophyta; Magnoliopsida; Rosales; Rosaceae
Description: long non-coding RNA (MDOM_LNC013142)
Source: RNAcentral
UUAAACUAGAAUGCAACAAUGUCAUUUGGUUCUUUUAUCCAUAGAAUUGAUUUAAAAUGGAGCUAAAAGAAUUGAAAAUCUAAUUCUCAUUUAAAGAGGGAAAACUAUUUAGUCUUCCAACUAAUUUGGGCCAAAAUGCAAUAACCUUAACUUUUGAGUCAAAAUGAAAAUACACCAAAGUAUCAAAACUUUAUGUAAUUGUAAGAAAACCCCGAAAACUCUCCUUUUUUUAGGGUCGCCGGUUUUGAUGGGAGAGAGCGCUUGAAAAACUUAGGGAAAUAGAUAGAAAUAAGACAUUUUCUUAAUCUUGGGACAGAAAUAGGAAAUUUUGAAUAUGCACACACCAUGCAUACGUGAUACACAACAAUUGGACAAAAAUAGACUUUUCAUAUUUAUCAUGACAAACCGUAUUAUAAUAGUUUAUAAAUUGAACGUUUGUAAAACCACACCAAGCCCAUACAAAUCAUUCAUAUUUGUCAUGCCAAGCCAUGUUAUAGUAUCAACAUUAUAGUAUGAAUCACGCCAAGCACACGACAAAAGAGUCCCCCACAAUCAAUAACAAAUCUACAUAGGGACCUGGGAGGUCCCAGGACCCGUUGGCGAUCCUAAACCGCUGGUAGAAAUUUUCCAAUAACCCCUCAUACUCGAACAUGAGAUUUGUGCAUGUUGUAGGUUGCAGGUUGCAGUGGCUAUCUUCUUCUCGGAGAAAAUGACCGCACAUAGAGAAGAAAGAAAAUAGGGACCCUUCCUGCACCCUUCCUGCCUCUCUCCUUCUUGCUUCUACCAUGGUCUCAUCCGUCGGUGCUACCCACUUCUCCUCCAACCUUUCUCUGUCGUCUGUCGAACCCGUCCCAAAAUCCUCCUAUCUUUAUCUUGGAAGCCAUGGCAGCACUCCGUCGUCAUUGUCGGACUUCUCCGUCAUGGAAUUCAUGGCAGAACCCCCUUUCGCCGCCGCCACUCCCCAAUCUCUCUCUAACCACUCAAUCUCCCCUCUCUCAUCCCAUUUUCUUGCAGCUAUUUCAAUUGAUUCGCAUCGGAUCUACAGCUCCAAUGUCCGAUCUACAAAAUCCAUACGGGCCAGCCCUUAACGACGCCAUUUGAAGUCACAAACUUGACGGAUUUGUCGCAUGCAAAGCUCAAUUUUCAUUUUCCUUGUCGUUCCUUCCAUAAAACCAUCUAUCUAUUUUUCCAUGUUGAUUUUUUCAGGUAAUUAAUGGUCUCCAGCCUUCGAUCUAAAGGACGACAAUCUUUUAAAUUAUUUCAUUAAAAAAAUAAGAGGCAAGAUUAAUGUUCUGCACAUUAGGGAGAAUCUUCUGCAGAUCACCAAACUAGAUCUUCUUCGAACAGGGAAGAACGAGCACAAACAUGGAGGAUGAGCUGGGAUAGUGAGAGGUGAGAACUGCGACUCACAAAACGCCCAGAGAAAUUAGGCCAAGACGCCGAAGUGAGUAAAGUAUUGUGAAUGAAUCUCAUAUUUAUGGGCAGAGAGAUAUUGUAUGAGUUUAUAAGUAAGUUGACUUACUCAUCAUAUUGCUAAUUCAUUUUAUGGUGGAACCUCAAUUUUUUCAUGGUAUCAGAGACCAGGUUGUUUCUCUGUGAAUCACAAUGACUACAAAUGCUCCACAUUAACCUAUUGUGUUAUCCAUGUAUUACACUUGAAAAUUCGUCACAUGUGAGGAAAAAUGUUAAAAAUGAAUCAUGCAUUGAUGGGAGAAUAAACAUUGCAUGUGCUUAUAAAUAAGUUGGGAUAUUCUUCAUAUUACCAAUUAGUUUUAUGGUAAAAUUCCAAUUUUCUUCAAUAGGGGCAAAUGUUGUAAUUUUGUAAAAUAUAUACGCGCCCGGGGCGGGAAUGUUUGCUGAUUGAAAAUUCCAUUAAAAGGGCAUUAUUCAC